This 422-nucleotide long non-coding RNA is filed under the name Homo sapiens (human). Its description in RNAcentral is "non-protein coding lnc-PARPBP-10:1". Lineage: Eukaryota; Metazoa; Chordata; Mammalia; Primates; Hominidae. The record is from RNAcentral.
GUUCAGGUUUCACAAGAAUGAUCCUGCCUAGAACUUCUGACUCAAACUUAAAGCUGUUUGGCUUCUCAAUAGUUGAAUGCACAGCAAGUGCAGUUAACAAAGUGACAUUGCUAUGGCUGCAAGUUGCACAACAGCAUAAUGUCAGCCUUCUGAUGAGAGCUGGGCUGUUGAGCAAUGCCACUUGGAAGAGAGAGGUCACACACAGAAACAGUUCUAAGAAUGUUAUAUCUUUAUAAAUAUUCAAUAUAUUUCUUUAUGAGUUAGAACCCAGACUUUCCAAACCUCUGAUUCAUGUUUUUCCAGAAAUCUCAGGUCAGGCAGUACAUUUUCAGUUGACAAGUUAAGUUCAUUUUGAAAUAUCUCACAGCGAAACCAGAAUAGGGCAUUUCAAGUGGGGGAGGAGUUCCACACAGAGGUCUCCA